CGGGCUGUAGCGCAGCUUGGUAGCGCGCUUCGUUCGGGACGAAGAGGUCGUGGGUUCGAAUCCCGCCAGCCCGACC
Molecule: transfer RNA, 76 nt
Filed under: freshwater metagenome
Also listed under: 1 other name
Description: tRNA-Pro
Rfam family: tRNA
About the family: Transfer RNA (tRNA) molecules are approximately 80 nucleotides in length. Their secondary structure includes four short double-helical elements and three loops (D, anti-codon, and T loops). Further hydrogen bonds mediate the characteristic L-shaped molecular structure. tRNAs have two regions of fundamental functional importance: the anti-codon, which is responsible for specific mRNA codon recognition, and the 3' end, to which the tRNAs corresponding amino acid is attached (by aminoacyl-tRNA synthetases). tRNAs cope with the degeneracy of the genetic code in two manners: having more than one tRNA (with a specific anti-codon) for a particular amino acid; and 'wobble' base-pairing, i.e. permitting non-standard base-pairing at the 3rd anti-codon position.
Source: RNAcentral